RNAcentral lists this long non-coding RNA (211 nucleotides) under Elaeis guineensis (African oil palm). RNAcentral describes it as "long non-coding RNA (EGUI_LNC008553)". Lineage: Eukaryota; Viridiplantae; Streptophyta; Magnoliopsida; Arecales; Arecaceae. The record is from RNAcentral.
UCAUUCUCAAAGGUCCACAAUUAAUACGAAUAUCAUAUUUGAUUAGAGGAGCAUUCUAAAGAAGCCAAAGAUCGUAGAUGGAGCAAAAAAGGUUGCACAGGACAGUAGUGGGUAGCACUUGCAUAUAGGUGAUAUGCCAACAAUUUCUACCUUUAAUCAUGAUCAUUUUGAGAUGGAGGUGAGCAAGCAUAUUUCCACACAUUUGGAGGCU